RNAcentral lists this transfer RNA (69 nucleotides) under Bos taurus (domestic cattle). It matches the Rfam family "tRNA". Rfam says of the family: Transfer RNA (tRNA) molecules are approximately 80 nucleotides in length. Their secondary structure includes four short double-helical elements and three loops (D, anti-codon, and T loops). RNAcentral also lists the same sequence under 3 other names. The record is from Rfam by way of RNAcentral. Lineage: Eukaryota; Metazoa; Chordata; Mammalia; Artiodactyla; Bovidae.
CCUGGUGGCUCAGACAGUAAAGAAUCUGCCUGCAAUGCAGAAGACCCAGGUUUGAUCCCUGGGUCAGGA